AUAAGAUGAGAGUUUGAUCCUGGCUCAGGACGAACGCUGGCGGCAUGCCUAAUACAUGCAAGUCGAACGAGCUUCCGUUGAAUGACGUGCUUGCACUGAUUUUAACAAUGAAGCGAGUGGCGAACUGGUGAGUAACACGUGGGAAAUCUGCCCAGAAGCAGGGGAUAACACUUGGAAACAGGUGCUAAUACCGUAUAACAACAAAAUCCGCAUGGAUUUUGUUUGAAAGGUGGCUUCGGCUAUCACUUCUGGAUGAUCCCGCGGCGUAUUAGUUAGUUGGUGAGGUAGAGGCCCACCAAGACG
This 303-nucleotide ribosomal RNA is filed under the name Levilactobacillus brevis. RNAcentral describes it as "Lactobacillus brevis partial 16S ribosomal RNA". It matches the Rfam family "Bacterial small subunit ribosomal RNA", at positions 1 to 275 of the family's 1533-position model. Lineage: Bacteria; Bacillati; Bacillota; Bacilli; Lactobacillales; Lactobacillaceae. The record is from RNAcentral.